UUUUUUUCUUUUUAAGGCUAUAUCCAUGGCAUAUGGAAGUUUCCAGACUAGGGGUUAAAUAGGAGCUCUAGCUCCCUGCCUAUGCCACAGUCACAGCAACACCAGAUCUGAGCCUUGUCUUCGAACUACACCACAGCUCCCAGCAAUGUUGGAUCCUUAACAUGUUAGGGAUUGGACAGGGAUGGAAACCCUAUCCUCAUGGACACUAGUCAGGUUUGUUAUUGCUGAGCCACAAUGGGAACUCCACCUGUGUCAUAUUUUAGAUUUCACAUAUAAGUGACAUCCACAGUAUUUGUCUCUUUUUGACUUACUUCUCAGUAUGAGAAUCUCUAUUUCCAUCAAUGUUGCCACAAAUGACAUUAUUUUGUUUUUUUUUAUAGUUGAGUUGUAUUUCACUAUAUGCAUGUAUCACAACAUCUUAAUCCAUUCAUCUAUCAAUGUACAUUUAGGUUAUUUCCAUGACUUAGCUAUUGUGAACAGCACUGCAAUGAACAUAUAGGUGUAUGUACCUUUUUCAAUGAAAGUUUUGUCCAGCUAUAUGCCCAGGAGUGGUAUUGCUGGAUCACAUGGUAGUUCUAUAUUGAGUUUUCUGAGGUACCUCCACAGUUUUCCAUAGUGGUUGUACCAGUUUACAUUCCCACCAACUAUAUGGGAGGGCUCCCUUUUCUCCAUACCCUUUCCAGCAUUUGUUAUUUGUAGACUUACUCAUGAUGGCCGUUCUGAAGUGGCACCUCAUUGCAGUUUUGAUUUGCAUUUCUCUAAUAAUUAGUAAUGUUGAAGAUUUUUUCAUGUGCCUGCUGGCCAUCCAUAUGUCUUAUUCGGAGAAAUGUCUGUUUAGGACUUCUGCCCACUUUUCAAUUGGGUUGUUUGUUUUUUGUUGUUGAGUGGUAUAGGUUGUUUAUAUAUUUUGCAGAAUUAGGCCUUUGUCGGUUGAAUUGUUUGCAAAGAUUUUCACCCAUUCUGUGGGUUGUCUUUUGUUUUUUUAAUGGCUUCCCUUGGUGCAAAAUCUUUUGAGUUUCAAUAGGUCCCUUGGGUUUAUUUUUAUUUUUAUUGUCAUUAUUCUAGGAGGUGAAUCAAAACAAGAUGUUGCUGUGAUUUAGGUCAAAUAGUGUUCUGCCUGUUUUCUUCUAGGAUUUUUAUAGUAUCUGGCCUUAUAUUUAGCUCUUUAAAUAAGGUUAAGAACAGAUUUGUCAAAUACUGCACUUAAAUAAUUAAUUAUAGCAAUAUUUAGACUUUUCAAAACUUGAGUUAGACUUAAUUGCCUAUAAUCACAAGCAGGCGUACUUUCUCUUCAAGAAAAGCUAAGGCAACAUUUCCUGUAUAAUAAUAAAUUUCUUAUAAGCAAAUUAAGAUAAACCAGAUUCACCCAGAUGAAUUAUCAUUUUAAUACUCUUUAAAAAUUUGCCUACAUUAAGUACCGUUUUUAAAAAAUGAACAAUAUAUAUUUUUUCAUUCAAUGAUAAAGUACACUUAACUAAAUUAGUUCAUUUAACUAUAUAAAUCUUUAAGAACCUAAACUGUAAUAUGAUGGCAUGCUUUUAAAUAAGAUUUUUUAAAUGCAUUAGGUAGUAGUAUUUAUGUUAUUUGCUAAUAAACAAAUUAUAAUAUGUCCUAUCAAAUAUGAGGACAUACUUGAUAUGCCCAUCCUCCAAUAAUAGUCCAUGUGUUCAUUUAACAUUUUAACAAUUUUUUUUAGAAUUUGUGUUUCUAUUUUUGUGUAUGUCCCUGUGUUUAUGUGAAUAAUCAUCUGAUGAGCUGAAUUUUAUGUGAGAUGUGUAUAUUUGUGUGUGUACAUGUUUAUGUGAACAUGAGAGGGAGUGGUUCUGUACAGACAUUAUAAGAGUUUUGUGGUUCAGAUGAUUGGUUACAUUUGAAUAUUAUUUUCAAUUAAUGUAGUUCAUAGCCAUUUAAAUAUUUAUUAAGAACUAGGUGAUGAUAAAUCUUCAUUAUCAAAUAUAGAAAAUAAAUUAUACAUCUUAGAGUUCUUAAUUUUUCUAGCAUGCCUUUUUUCUUUAUGUAUGGAAGCAUACAUUGUACUGUAGCUAUGUAGGCUAUAUUCUGUAUAUUAUGGAGGCUGGAUUAUUCUGAAGUUAAUGCAUUGAGACAUUAUGCCACCUGAAUUUCUCAGCUUUAGAGAUUCCUGUCUCUCAGUUUCAGUGUCAAGCUUCCAAUCCUAUUCACUUUAAUUUUUUCUUUUUAAAGUAAAAGAAGGUAUCUGAACCUUCCACUGAGUGAGAACAGCUUCACUUUAUGAAGUUGAAAGCUGUAGGAAAAAAUAAUAUUUUCUUAUGUUUUUAGAUCUUAGAGAUAAUUAUCUUCCAUUGAUUUAGUUUAACAUUAAUUGUAAGUAUUUUGUGUAGUUUAAAAAUACUCCUACUUAGGAGUGCCCAUCGUGGCUCAGUGGAAAUGAGUCUGACAAGUAAGUAUCCAAGAGGAUGCAGGUUAAAUCCCUAGCCUUUCUCAGUGGGUUAAGGAUCAGGCAUUGCUGUGAGCUGCCACAGCUCAGAUCUGGCAUUGCUGUGGCUGUGGUAUAGGCCAGAGGUGACAGCUCCGAUUCGACCCCUAGCCUGGGUAACUCUGGCCACAGGUGUGGUCCUAAAAAGACACACACACACACACAAACAAAACUACUACUACUCAAAAUAUAUGGGGAAGGGAAUGAUAAUUCCACUUAAAUCAUGUACAACUGAAAGUAAAAUCAUAUGUUAUUCUGAAAUCUUUACAUUUAACUGUAGCUUUUUAAUGAAAUUUGUUUGGAGGGCUUAAUAAUAUCUAUUUUUCCAAGUUAAAUAUUUUACAGAAUGAGUUUUCUCUGUAUAAUAUAUUCAAUAUAUUUAUUCAUUUUUAUUUUUUUCUUUUAAUGGCCACACCUGUGACACAUUUAAGUUCCUGAUCUAUGGGGUCAAAUCAGAGCUAUAGCUGCAGGCCUAUGCUAUAGCCUGUGGCAACAGUGGAUCCUUAACCCACUGAGAGAGGCCAGGGGUCAAACCUGCAUCAUCACUGACACUAUGUUGGGUUGACACCCCAAUAAGCCACACAAUCCCCAUAUGCUUAUUUUUAAUACUGCAAGUUGUGAAGGGAAUUUAUUUCAUACCAGUAUUAUAAAUGUAGAAGAAUUCCCUUGUGAAUGCAAAAGAGCUGGGUAUUAAAGAAUGGAAAAACUAAGCAACAACAAAAAUAAAUUUCCAGAAGAAAAUCAACCUUUGAUUUAAAGAAUCACAAAAUCUUGUACAACUUGGGAUCUUUAUUUCAGAACUAUACAAUGGAACUAAAAACAAAACUAUGACUAGGAAACAAGUAUAUUGUCAAACACUUAAAAUAUUUAUGCAGUAUGUAGAUGUGCAUGUUUUCAUUUGAAUAAGAAUUAAUUUCUUUAUUGAUAAAAAAGAUACAUUUCUUCUGGUUUCUUAAAACUAUGCUGUUUAUGUUGUAAGCAAACAUUUGAGUUUGAUUAUAUGG
Molecule: long non-coding RNA, 3459 nt
Filed under: Sus scrofa (pig)
Lineage: Eukaryota; Metazoa; Chordata; Mammalia; Artiodactyla; Suidae
Description: lncRNA (ENSSSCG00015058833.1)
Source: RNAcentral